Molecule: long non-coding RNA, 127 nt
Organism: Etheostoma cragini (Arkansas darter)
Lineage: Eukaryota; Metazoa; Chordata; Actinopteri; Perciformes; Percidae
Exons: 3
Source: RefSeq, a predicted model, not a curated record
UUUGUGUCUGUGUCUCUCUGUCCGUCAGUCUCUCUCUCUCUCUCUCUCUGUGUGCCUGAUCGCGUGUCUCGCUGUGAGAAGUCAAGACAGCCAAAAUCACCAUAUGUGUGUGUGUGUGUGUGUGUGU